ACAAUUCUUGUUAAAGUAGUACUCUCGGUGCAGUACGUUUACGGCUACAAUGGGUAACACUAGUAGAACUUCACUGCAGACCGCUUAUUCACUCUGGAAGUGAUUUCCGAAAGGUUUUUGGUGGUGAAGUAAACCAGUUGACAAAAUCCUCCAAGUAUGAACUGAGCCGUUAGUGUAAGCUUGGGUCAUACUAAACUCACAUGAAAAAAAGGGCAGAAUAAUUUCAUAGACUAAGAAAUGAUGCGGCCAGGGCUGAUGGAGCCACAAGAAUCAGACCAGCA
RNAcentral lists this long non-coding RNA (281 nucleotides) under Setaria italica (foxtail millet). RNAcentral describes it as "long non-coding RNA (SITA_LNC003298)". Lineage: Eukaryota; Viridiplantae; Streptophyta; Magnoliopsida; Poales; Poaceae. The record is from RNAcentral.